Molecule: non-coding RNA, 74 nt
Organism: Podarcis lilfordi (Lilford's wall lizard)
Lineage: Eukaryota; Metazoa; Chordata; Lepidosauria; Squamata; Lacertidae
Source: the annotation of a GenBank genome assembly
GUAUCUGUGGCUCAGUGGGUCAGUAUGUCUGACUGUUAACCAGAAGGUUGGUGGUUCGAGGCCACCCAGGGACG